CAGGUAGGGCCUGCUCACUGAAAUUAAAGAGCCGCAGUAUACUGACUGUGCUAAGGUAGCUUAAUAAUUAGCAACCUAAUUAGUUGCCGGUAUAAAUGGUCUGACGAAAAAUUACUUUUCUUUGGUUCCUUAAAAAUUAAUAUGUAGAUAAAAAAGUCCACAAACCAUAGAUAGACGACAAGACCCUAAAACCUUUAUGGAUCACCAACGACCUUUUUACUGGGGCGGUAGAUAACCCACCAUAAUCUAUAAAAACAUAAUGGAUGGCUUUAACUAACUUCUAUAAAAACAAAAAGGUACUUUAGGGAUAACAGCAUAAUUCUUAUUUAGAGCAACCCUAUCGACAUAAGAGCUUAUGACCUCGAUGUUGAAUUGAUAAUACCCCACUAAGCAAAAAUAGUGGUAUUUAGGUCUGUUCGACCUUU
Molecule: ribosomal RNA, 425 nt
Filed under: Porcellionides pruinosus
Lineage: Eukaryota; Metazoa; Arthropoda; Malacostraca; Isopoda; Porcellionidae
Description: partial 16S ribosomal RNA
Rfam family: Archaeal large subunit ribosomal RNA
Source: RNAcentral